ACCGUCGUGGCGCAGGGGCACAAGGGUGUGACUAUAACCCGAAGGUUGUGGGUUCGAACCCCACCCGGAGGAA
This 73-nucleotide transfer RNA is filed under the name Heliconius melpomene (postman butterfly). RNAcentral describes it as "tRNA HMEL016323". Lineage: Eukaryota; Metazoa; Arthropoda; Insecta; Lepidoptera; Nymphalidae. The record is from RNAcentral.